Non-coding RNA from Ceraceosorus guamensis, 103 nucleotides. The record is from the annotation of a RefSeq genome assembly. Lineage: Eukaryota; Fungi; Basidiomycota; Exobasidiomycetes; Ceraceosorales; Ceraceosoraceae.
GUUCUUGUAGCUCAGUUGGUAGAGCGCGGAGCUGUUAAUUAAUAGCAGCAUGUGCGGCUAAUAACACACUCCGAGGUCUCUGGUUCAAGCCCAGGCGGGAACG